Molecule: non-coding RNA, 294 nt
Organism: Phascolarctos cinereus (koala)
Lineage: Eukaryota; Metazoa; Chordata; Mammalia; Diprotodontia; Phascolarctidae
Source: RefSeq, a predicted model, not a curated record
UAUCAAGGUUGGUUGGCAGUUGGUGGAGAUGGCUGCUUCCCCACAUUCCAAAGAUGAUGGCUGUGAGAGCUAAACUGAAAGCAGGACCAGUGGUCUAAAGAUUAACAGUCUGUAAGUCUACUUCAACUGUUGCAGGAAACCACCUUCAGAAGAAUACCAAACACCUAUUUUAAGGCCUUUGAUUGAUUCAAAAGAGACAUCCAGAAAUCCCAUCUUGGUGAUACGGCUUACAUUUGGAACCAUACAGUAAUGAGUUGCUGAAUAAUGUUCAAAUCAUCAUAAUCCACAGCCAAC